AUACGUUCAGCUCAAUUUAAAGCUGCAGUAAGACUCGAGACAUGGAACGGGGUCUUGGG
The submitters of this non-coding RNA (59 nucleotides) gave its source as unclassified sequences. The record is from Rfam.